This 384-nucleotide unclassified non-coding RNA is filed under the name uncultured Malasseziales. RNAcentral describes it as "sequence contains 5.8S rRNA gene, ITS2, 28S rRNA gene". Lineage: Eukaryota; Fungi; Basidiomycota; Malasseziomycetes; Malasseziales. The record is from RNAcentral.
AACGCACCUUGCGCUCUAUGGUAUUCCGUAGAGCAUGCCUGUUUGAGUGCCGUGAAUUCUCCCAUCCCAAGCGGUUUUUAUCAAAGAAUUGCUAGGCGAAGGGGUUGAGAUGGGCGUUGUUAUAACUGCUUUUCUUCUCUAGAAAAGCUCGCCCGAAAAACAGCUAACGCCUCUGGGCCACUUUGCAUCCGCUUCUCUGAGGGGAGAAGCGGCCAAGCGCGCUCUGAUCAUCAGGCAUAGCAUGAUACGUCAUUUGCUAUGCUGUAGGAGAGCAUUUGGUUGUGGUUAUACCGCGUGCGUUAUUUUUUUUUUGCAAACGCAAAGAAAAAAAAGCCCCCUUUCAUUUCUGGUCUCAAAUCAGGUAGGAUCACCCGCUGAACUUAA